CAAAGUUCACUUGAAAUGCAUCGGCAUGAGUUUUUGUUUACAGACUACAGUUGUUAUAUUUCAAUGUAUUAGGUUUUAUCCAUCGUUGAGCUCGACUUCUGCAGGACGUAGCAAAGUUUUUGGCUCUGCCUAACAAACUUUAUCAUAAAGUUUGACCUCAAAUCAAGUAGGACUACCCGCUGAACUUAAGCAUAUCAAUAAGCGGAGGAAAAGAAACCAACAGGGAUUGCCUUAGUAGCGGCGAGUGAAGCGGCAAGAGCUCAAAUUUGAAAUCUGGUACCUUCGGUGCCCGAGUUGUAAUUUGAAGAAGGAUAUCUUGAGUUUGGCCUUUGUCUAUGUUCCUUGGAACAGGACGUCACAGAGGGUGAGAAUCCCGUGCGAUGAGGUGUCCAAAUUCUUAUAAGAUUCCUUCGAAGAGUCGAGUUGUUUGGGAAUGCAGCUCUAAGUGGGUGGUAAAUUCCAUCUAAAGCUAAAUAUUGGCGAGAGACCGAUAGCGAACAAGUACAGUGAUGGAAAGAUGAAAAGAACUUUGAAAAGAGAGUGAAAAAGUACGUGAAAUUGUUGAAAGGGAAGGGUAUUAGAUCAGACUUGGUAUUUAGUUAUCACUUCUCCUUGUGGGUUGUGCUCUAGCUGUUUACUGGGCCAGCAUCAGUUUUGGUGGCAGGAUAAUGACAUUUGAACGUGGCUCUUCGGAGUGUUAUAGCUUUUGUUGAUACUGCCCACCGGGACUGAGGUCUGCGGCUUUUGCCUAGGAUGCUGGCGUAAUGAUCCAAUACCGCCCGUCUUGAAACAUGGACCAAGGAGUCUAACGUCUAUGCGAGUGUUUGGGUGUAAAACCCGUACGCGUAAUGAAAGUGAACGUAGAUCAGGGCCCUUUACGGGGUGCACGAUCGACCGAUCCUGAUGUUUUCAGAUGGAUUUGAGUAAGAGCAUAGCU
Molecule: ribosomal RNA, 937 nt
Filed under: Ogataea arabinofermentans
Lineage: Eukaryota; Fungi; Ascomycota; Pichiomycetes; Pichiales; Pichiaceae
Description: LSU rRNA
Rfam family: Eukaryotic large subunit ribosomal RNA (bases 153-937)
Source: RNAcentral